AGUGAACGCUGGCGGUAGGCCUAACACAUGCAAGUCGAACGGCAGCACAGUAAGAGCUUGCUCUUACGGGUGGUGAGUGGCGGACGGGUGAGGAAUACAUCGGAAUCUACUUUUUCGUGGGGGAUAACGUAGGGAAACUUACGCUAAUACCGCAUACGACCUACGGGUGAAAGCAGGGGAUCUUCGGACCUUGCGCGAUUGAAUGAGCCGAUGUCGGAUUAGCUAGUUGGCGGGGUGAAGGCCCACCAAGGCGACGAUCCGUAGCUGGUCUGAGAGGAUGAUCAGCCACACUGGAACUGAGACACGGUCCAGACUCCUACGGGAGGCAGCAGUGGGGAAUAUUGGACAAUGGGCGCAAGCCUGAUCCAGCCAUACCGCGUGGGUGAAGAAGGCCUUCGGGUUGUAAAGCCCUUUUGUUGGGAAAGAAAAGCAGCAGGUUAAUACCCCGCUGUUCUGACGGUACCCAAAGAAUAAGCACCGGCUAACUUCGUG
This 492-nucleotide ribosomal RNA is filed under the name uncultured bacterium. RNAcentral describes it as "partial 16S ribosomal RNA". It matches the Rfam family "Bacterial small subunit ribosomal RNA", at positions 29 to 507 of the family's 1533-position model. The record is from RNAcentral.